GUAGGUGGCAAGCGUUGUCCGGAAUUAUUGGGCGUAAAGCGCGCGCAGGCGGUUUUUUAAGUCUGAUGUGAAAGCCCACGGCUCAACCGUGGAGGGUCAUUGGAAACUGGAGAACUUGAGUACAGAAGAGGAAAGCGGAAUUCCACGUGUAGCGGUGAAAUGCGUAGAGAUGUGGAGGAACACCAGUGGCGAAGGCGGCUUUCUGGUCUGUAACUGACGCUGAGGCGCGAAAGCGUGGGGAGAAAACAGGGAUUAGAUACCCUGGUAGUCCACGCCGUAAACGAUGAGUGCUAAGUGUUAGGGGGUUUCCCGCCCCUUAGUGCUGCAGCUAACGCAUUAAGCACUCCGCCUGGGGAGUACGGCCGCAAGGCUG
RNAcentral lists this ribosomal RNA (373 nucleotides) under uncultured organism. RNAcentral's name for it is "partial 16S ribosomal RNA". It matches the Rfam family "Bacterial small subunit ribosomal RNA", at positions 527 to 896 of the family's 1533-position model. The record is from RNAcentral.